UUUGCGGGAACGACGAACGGCUCAGUAAUAUUGCGAUGAUUUGCUCUGUUGGGAGAAGAUAACCAUGGUAACCUAUGGCUAAGAGACAGAAUAAGACGCAAUCCUAUCAGUUUGUUGGUUGUGUAAUGGACAACCAAGACUAUGACGGGUGACGGGAAAUCAGGGUUUUAUUCCGGAGAGGGAGCCUGAGAGAUUGCUCCUACGUCCAAGGACGGCAGCAGGCGCGAAAAUUGCCCACUCUUCUUUUGGAGGAGGCAGUUAUGAGACGUGAAUAAAGGAAGUACAGUAAAUAAGUGCUUGUAAAGCAAUUGGAGGGCAAGUUUGGUGCCAGCAGCCGCGGUAAUACCGACUCCAAGAGUGUCUAUUGUGGAUGCUGCAGUUAAAAAGUCCGUAGUUUUUUUGUGCAAUUAAAAGGUAUUGAUCAAAGAUACCAAGUUUGCAACAAUAUUUUUCGGAACGGAUAGGGAACAUAGUAUAGAUGGGCGAGAGAUGAAAUGACCAAGACCCCAUCUGGACUAACAGAGGCGAAAGCGAUGUUCUUAGACGAAUCUGUGGAUCAAGGACGAAGGCCGGAGGAUCGAAAGUGAUUAGAUACCGCUGUAGUUCCGGCAGUAAACUAUGCCGACAUCUUUUCCAUGUAUUAUUAGUGGGAGAGAGGGAGAAAUCUUAGUGUUCGGGCUCUGGGGAUAGUAUGCUCGCAAGAGUGAAACUUAAAACGAAAUUGACGGAAUAACACCACCAGGAGUGGAUUGUGCGGCUUAA
This 762-nucleotide ribosomal RNA is filed under the name Microsporidium sp. IVD. RNAcentral's name for it is "SSU rRNA". It matches the Rfam family "Microsporidia small subunit ribosomal RNA", at positions 67 to 827 of the family's 1311-position model. The record is from RNAcentral. Lineage: Eukaryota; Fungi; Microsporidia.